GGGGGCGCAAUGGUUUCGACGGGGACUUUGAAACAAGAUAAGCAGGCGGAGGCGGAGAUCCUCCAUAAAAGCUCUAAAAACAAUAACUGAUAACAAGACUGAACUUGUUGCUGCCUAAUUAGGCAGCCGUCCGCUCAGAGAGUAUCGCGGCUCUGUGUCGGGCGUCAUUCAGCGGUGAACGUGAACUGAGAGUUCGUCCUUAUAACAGUCACGGAUAAAAGGGCUGCCCGCGCCGUUUUUUGCCGGAUGGAGCCGGCGCGGGGAGAGCAAUCGUCCGGCUGAGCCUGGAGAAAGUUUUGCGGAGGAGUUUUCGGACACGGGUUCGAUUCCCGUCGCCUCCACCA
RNAcentral lists this transfer-messenger RNA (344 nucleotides) under Eubacteriales. RNAcentral describes it as "JAAZGC01 sp012511425 Standard tmRNA". It matches the Rfam family "transfer-messenger RNA". Rfam says of the family: Bacterial tmRNA, also known as 10Sa RNA or SsrA, is named for its dual tRNA and mRNA-like properties. The record is from RNAcentral. RNAcentral also lists the same sequence under 1 other name. Lineage: Bacteria; Bacillati; Bacillota; Clostridia.